This 60-nucleotide microRNA precursor is filed under the name Capra hircus (goat). RNAcentral describes it as "miRNA (ENSCHIG00000009181.1)". The record is from RNAcentral. Lineage: Eukaryota; Metazoa; Chordata; Mammalia; Artiodactyla; Bovidae.
UCUCCUCUGAUCUCGGAAGCUAAGCAGGGUUGGGCCUGGUUAGUACUUGGAUGCGAGACU